Etheostoma cragini (Arkansas darter) is the source of this 986-nucleotide long non-coding RNA. RefSeq lists it as uncharacterized. The record is from RefSeq and is a predicted model, not a curated record. NCBI's taxonomy places the organism in Eukaryota, Metazoa, Chordata, Actinopteri, Perciformes, Percidae. The transcript is spliced from 3 exons.
GGAAUCCUGUUUAUACCUCUGCCAACACCAUCCUCCAACUGCUGUGACGAAUUCUUGUGCCUCCACCUGGGCCUGGGAUCUGUUUCUAAGAAGCCUCAGAGUGUUUUUAACCAACGUGAGGAGUUUUUCCAGAUCACUUUGUCAGGAAAGAGUUCUUCUCAACAGGAUUGUUAAGACGGAAAAUGUCCUUAAAGAGACGGCUGCUGUCCAUGUUGUUGUGCUGUGUUUAUUGCGUGACCUCGCUCUUCUGCCUCCACCCAAACCGCAACAACUGCUUCUCAAUGGGAGCUCGGAAUCUGUUGUCAGUUGUUCAGCAGCUUUACCAGCGUGCCAUUCGACUGCUCCGCACCACUCUGUGAUCCUCAGCGCUGCCUGUGUUUCAACCAAUAAUUCCGGACCUGUCCUGCCACUGCGGCCACUGUGGUUAUUUUCAAGCAUGUCCACCAGUAGGGCAUCACCAAUUUAAACAAUAAGAAACAGAGAAAGAGGAAUGGUUUCACUCCACUCAUGGACUUUCAGUUUUCUCUGACUUGGGAUCCAAUCGCCCUGUUGUGCUCACUACUGCAAUUCUCUAACUAUAUUUUAGAUGAAGGGGCGAGGAGUAUCUGAAAAAGUAAUUUUUUUUACUGACGUGGAUUAACAUUGUGGAUAUCUGCUGUGUGUUAUGCGAGUGAAGUGGAAAGGACAUAGUCAUUGAAAUGCAUUUUGAGGGUUCACUGUGAGCUUGGCUGCUGUGCUGUACACUGCAACAGCAGAAGUAUGAAGGUUAAGGAAACAGCCUUGUAACCAAGAGGUUGUUGGUCAAAAUUUGUGGACACGCUGGCAGUUUUGUUGUAGUAAUCCAAAAGUCAACAUGUAUGAAUCAAUGUUCAUGGAAUGGUCUUAAAGGAGACUGGGUCAAAAAGGGACUUGAGAAUAAUCAGAUCCAAUCCAAAAUGCAGUCAACCCAAACAGACCCAAGCGGAGCUAGAAAGAGAGAGAGAGAG